Molecule: long non-coding RNA, 317 nt
Organism: Nilaparvata lugens (brown planthopper)
Lineage: Eukaryota; Metazoa; Arthropoda; Insecta; Hemiptera; Delphacidae
Exons: 3
Source: RefSeq, a predicted model, not a curated record
GGGAGAGAUACAAGAAGGAGUCUGACUUUAAAUAUCUGAAUUUUAAAUAUUGCUCAUACAAAACUCCAAUAAACACAAUGGAGGACUAUCGACAAAUUGAAAGAAAAGCAGAAGGAAUUGAAAAAAGAAGAAGAAAAAACGGACCAAAUGUGAGAAAUAGAAAAUAUCAUGAAUAGAAUCUCUGCAAAUCAAAAAUUCAAUCAACACCCUGAAAGGCCAUCGACAAAUUGAAAGAAAAGCAGAAGGAAUGGAAAAAUGAAGAAGAAAAAACGGGCCAAACCUGAGAAAUAGAAAAUAUCAUGAAUAGAAUUAUUGCA